This is a long non-coding RNA of Vicia villosa (hairy vetch), 872 nucleotides long. RefSeq lists it as uncharacterized. The record is from RefSeq and is a predicted model, not a curated record. The transcript is spliced from 3 exons. NCBI's taxonomy places the organism in Eukaryota, Viridiplantae, Streptophyta, Magnoliopsida, Fabales, Fabaceae.
CAGGAGAUUUAUGCUGAGCUGGUUCAUAAAAAGGCUAGAGUUGAAGAACAGCUAAAAGAAAUUACUGACUUUGAAUGACAUGGAGGACACUUAAUGCAAGGCCAACUUGGAAUGCUGAAGCCAACAAUGUCAGAAUCAUUAACACCACCAGCGUUAUUGCUAGGACCAACAUCAUCAUUGACAGAAAACAUUGGAGAGGUGACAAGGGAGGUUGAAGAAGGUUGAUCAGUUUCCUUUCGACUAUUGUUAUUAUUGUACCUCACACUUCUAGGAUUUCAUGUUUGUACAGUUACUAAGAUGCAACUUCCAAUUCCAAUUCAGUCUAGUUCUGUUUUCAGUCAAUCAAGCUUGUCCAAUUCCAACUUCCAACAGUGAAAUGAAAGUCACUUUUUUAGUCCCUACAAAUUACAAAACUAACACCAUGCUUCAAGGAGUGUCUCAUCUUUCUUCCUUCCAAAUUCCAAUUAUUAUAUUAUUACUAUAUUUCUAAUUACUAACUAUAUAAUCUUGUUUAUAUGCCGGUGGAAUUUCACAUUAUUUGUUAAAAGGUGUAUAUAUUUUUUUAUGUAGUAUAUUGUUUUUGGAAUUAAUGUAGUUAGGGACAACAGUAUUUGCACAUGGUUGUUGGAAGUUGUUGAACAAAAGUCCUACGGUUCAAAAUGGAGAAUUUCUGAGAAGAGAUUUGGAAACAAAAAGUUUCAAAAGCAUGUAUGUUGAAUAAGAGUUUGAACAAGCAGCAGGUUUCUGGGGUUACCUCGUGCAAAUUACCUAUCAGACUAGUGCAGGGGCUGUUAUCUCAACAGAUAUUGUCUUUUGGUGUGUAAUUGUCCCACUCUUAUCCAUUUCUCGUUUUAAAUUAAACAUGGUACGUG